CCUACGGGAGGCAGCAGUGGGGAAUAUUGCGCAAUGGGCGAAAGCCUGACGCAGCGACGCCGCGUGAGGGAUGAAGGUCUUCGGAUCGUAAACCUCUGUCAGCAGGGAAGAACGGUCACUGUGCUAAUCAGCAGUGAAUUGACGGUACCUGCAAAGGAAGCACCGGCUAACUCCGUGCCAGCAGCCGCGGGAAUACGGAGGGUGCGAGCGUUACUCGGAAUUACUGGGCGUAAAGCGCUCGUAGGCGGUAUGUGAAGUCAAGGGUGAAAUCCCCGCGCUCAACGUGGGAACUGCCUUUGAAACGGGGAAACUUGAGUGUGUGAGAGGAUAGUGGAAGUCCAGGUGUAGGGGUGAAAUCCGUAGAUAUCUGGAGGAACAUCAGUGGCGAAGGCGACUAUCUGGCACAUAACUGACGCUGAGGAGCGAAAGCGUGGGUAGCAAACAGGAUUAGAUACCCGGGUAGUC
RNAcentral lists this ribosomal RNA (465 nucleotides) under uncultured bacterium. RNAcentral's name for it is "partial 16S ribosomal RNA". It matches the Rfam family "Bacterial small subunit ribosomal RNA", at positions 338 to 795 of the family's 1533-position model. The record is from RNAcentral.